RNAcentral lists this ribosomal RNA (650 nucleotides) under uncultured bacterium. Its description in RNAcentral is "bacterial SSU rRNA". It matches the Rfam family "Bacterial small subunit ribosomal RNA", at positions 56 to 701 of the family's 1533-position model. The record is from RNAcentral.
UGCAAGUCGAGCGGUAACAGAAAGUAGCUUGCUACUUUGCUGACGAGCGGCGGACGGGUGAGUAAUGCUUGGGAACAUGCCUUGAGGUGGGGGACAACAGUUGGAAACGACUGCUAAUACCGCAUAAUGUCUACGGACCAAAGGGGGCUUCGGCUCUCGCCUUUAGAUUGGCCCAAGUGGGAUUAGCUAGUUGGUGAGGUAAUGGCUCACCAAGGCAACGAUCCCUAGCUGGUUUGAGAGGAUGAUCAGCCACACUGGAACUGAGACACGGUCCAGACUCCUACGGGAGGCAGCAGUGGGGAAUAUUGCACAAUGGGCGAAAGCCUGAUGCAGCCAUGCCGCGUGUGUGAAGAAGGCCUUCGGGUUGUAAAGCACUUUCAGUCAGGAGGAAAGGGUGUGAGUUAAUACCUCACAUCUGUGACGUUACUGACAGAAGAAGCACCGGCUAACUCCGUGCCAGCAGCCGCGGUAAUACGGAGGGUGCGAGCGUUAAUCGGAAUUACUGGGCGUAAAGCGUACGCAGGCGGUUUGUUAAGCGAGAUGUGAAAGCCCCGGGCUCAACCUGGGAACUGCAUUUCGAACUGGCAAACUAGAGUGUGAUAGAGGGUGGUAGAAUUUCAGGUGUAGCGGUGAAAUGCGUAGAGAUCUGA